UGCCCCUUGGUUCGGAAUAACAGUUGGAAACGACUGCUAAUACCGGAUGAUGACGUAAGUCCAAAGAUUUAUCGCCGAGGGAUGAGCCCGCGUAGGAUUAGGUAGUUGGUGUGGUAAGGGCGCACCAAGCCGACGAUCCUUAGCUGGUCUGAGAGGAUGAUCAGCCACACUGGGACUGAGACACGGCCCAGACUCCUACGGGAGGCAGCAGUGGGGAAUAUUGGACAAUGGGCGAAAGCCUGAUCCAGCAAUGCCGCGUGAGUGAUGAAGGCCUUAGGGUUGUAAAGCUCUUUUACCCGGGAUGAUAAUGACAGUACCGGGAGAAUAAGCUCCGGCUAACUCCGUGCCAGCAGCCGCGGUAAUACGGAGGGAGCUAGCGUUAUUCGGAAUUACUGGGCGUAAAGCGCACGUAGGCGGCUUUGUAAGUAAGAGGUGAAAGCCCAGAGCUCAACUCUGGAAUUGCCUUUUAGACUGCAUCGCUUGAAUCAUGGAGAGGUCAGUGGAAUUCCGAGUGUAGAGGUGAAAUUCGUAGAUAUUCGGAAGA
RNAcentral lists this ribosomal RNA (544 nucleotides) under uncultured Sphingomonas sp. RNAcentral's name for it is "bacterial SSU rRNA". It matches the Rfam family "Bacterial small subunit ribosomal RNA", at positions 127 to 705 of the family's 1533-position model. The record is from RNAcentral. Lineage: Bacteria; Pseudomonadati; Pseudomonadota; Alphaproteobacteria; Sphingomonadales; Sphingomonadaceae.